Molecule: long non-coding RNA, 1365 nt
Organism: Notothenia coriiceps (black rockcod)
Lineage: Eukaryota; Metazoa; Chordata; Actinopteri; Perciformes; Nototheniidae
Exons: 3
Source: RefSeq, a predicted model, not a curated record
AGUGAGGGGUACUACCUCCGAAUGGCUCAGGGUCGGUGAUGGGGAAAUCCUGGCGUGGAGUAGGAAAAAUUGCUGGAUUGGGAGAGGCAUAAGAAGCUGCAGCCGAGGUAGUUAGAGCUGAGAUCUGGCAUGCUAACUCAGAGACAUGAUGAGCCAUGGACUGAUUGCUCUCUACUAACGCCCGAAUGAGCUGGUUGUGUUGACCCAGGAGGGAACCAUGACUAGACAGGGCAUGAUGGACUGUGGCGGGAUCCGCUCCAGUGCCUGCGGGGUUUAUUCUUGGCCAGUUCUUCUGUUCGGUUUCCCGAGAAGUGACUGGAGAUGAGAACCCGCUAUGCAAGCACUAAAACCGAGACAGUGGUGAAGUGUCAAAAAAAGGCUUUAUUUUGUCCACGACACUGACAAGGAGUUGACGAAGCACACGUAGAGGGAAGACGUGGAGCUGGAUUCCGGGAAUCAGAAUGUCAUUGGGUUUAUCCCUGGUUAGGCUUGUCAUACUGAUGGACAGGGACAGUUGGGUUUUCUGGCUUCAAAUCAAGGCCAGCACUCAGCCUUUGAGACAACGCUGCAUUCAAUGAAGGGGUCCAUUCCACCGGUUAACUGAAGGAGGAUCCAGGGGAGGAAAACCGCUCACACAGUCCAGUCCCCUCGUGUCGCUGAGCAGUGAGCAGCGCUACUGUGAAGCUCCUGUUUCACCAUUUUAUUACUAAUGAUCCAUUGUUCACAGCUCUCACUCACUCUCAAAUGUUACAAAAAUAGUCCUUUCAUAAAAAACGAAAUAUGUGUUUGUUUUUUUAAGUUUAAACCAGUAUGAAGAACUUCCACAAUAUGUUUACAGAUCAGGUGUCUACCUAUAGUGUCAAAGAAGAAAACGUAAGCCAAGUACAGGAAAUAUACAGCCCUAAUGAUUCCAGAUUAAAUGGACUGUAUUCUCCUCCAGACAUUUUGUUUAGUGUAGUAUAGUUUACAGAACUUUUUGUUUAGUACAUGAAUUAAAAGCGUAAACAGCAUUUUUUGUUAAAUCAGGUGUCCAACUAAUGCAUUGAAAAACAAUUUUAAUGUGUAAGCAUGUGCCUUUUAAUGUAUCAUUCUGUGUUUUAAAAAGUAUUCAAAUAUUGUAAUCAUGCUAGUAUCCCAGAAGUAGAAUUUUGAGGUACAUGUACUUGGGUAUUUCCAUUAUCUGCUAUUUUAUAAUUCUACUUCACUGCAAUUCCAAGGGAAAUAUGGUAAUUCUUACUCAACUACAUUUAAUUGACACGUGUUGCUACUAGCUACGUUUUACAAUGUGACUAUAAGGGAAUACUGUUACCUUCUUUGUGUAUCCUGAUUACGUAAUCCCAUUUCAAGUAAAACACUUCUCUCUAA